Triticum aestivum (bread wheat) is the source of this 115-nucleotide non-coding RNA. The record is from Rfam. NCBI's taxonomy places the organism in Eukaryota, Viridiplantae, Streptophyta, Magnoliopsida, Poales, Poaceae.
UUAUUACUCCCUCCGCUCCGAAUUACUUGUCGCAGAUAUGGAUGUAUCUAGAUGUAUUUUAGUUCUAGAUACAUCCAUUUCUGCGACGAGUAAUUUGGAACGGAGGGAGUAGUUU